This is a long non-coding RNA of Octopus bimaculoides (California two-spot octopus), 2050 nucleotides long. RefSeq lists it as uncharacterized. The record is from RefSeq and is a predicted model, not a curated record. NCBI's taxonomy places the organism in Eukaryota, Metazoa, Mollusca, Cephalopoda, Octopoda, Octopodidae.
CGUCUGCAUUUACGACAACGUCAACAACAGCCAGGACUUCCUCACCGCCAUCUUCGACCACUAAACUUUGUAAGUGUUUAUGCGUGUGCGUGAGUCUCUCUCUCUCUCUCUCUAUAUAUAUAUAUACAUAUAUAUAUAUAUAUACACACACACAUACAUGUCUAUGUGUGUAUGAGAGCGUAUAUAUAUAUAUAUAUAUAUAUAUAUAUAUAUUAUAUAUAUAUAUAUAUAUAUAUUUAUACGCACAGUGAUGUGUGUGUAAGUUUAUAUAUGUGCGUGCGUGUAUCGAUGUGUUUGUGUGUGUAUGUUGUUGCUGUUAUUACCGUUGGUGCAAUGAUCGAAGGAGCUUUCCAGGCGUGACUGUCCCCGUUUUGUUUUUCUUUUUAUCGCAUAUAACAUCACCACCACCACAACAACAACUAUACUACUAUUACUACUACUACGGCCGCUGCCACUGCCGCCUGUAUUAAGGAUCUCAUCCGUAAGGUGUGUGUGUGUGUGUGUAUGUGAGAGAGGGAAAGUGGUAGUGGUGGUGGUGGGUGAUUUGGUUGCUAUUUCUAGCCGACCCCCUCGACCACUUAGAGCGACUUCCUUGCUCACUGCUCCAUCUUAUAUGUGAGCGCGCGUGAGAGUGAGAGAGAGAGAGAGAGCUUAUACGUCCGAGCGUGCAUUUCUGAGUAUGUAUGUGUAAGGCUGCAAGCGUGUAUAUAUAUAUAUUUAUAUAUGUAUGUAUGUGUAUAUAUGUAUGUAUGUAUGUAUGUAAGUGGUAUUGAUGAUGGCGGCGUCAGGGAGAACGUGGCCAUCACCGCUAAAACAGCAACGGCCAGACACAUAUGUCAGUUCAGCUCAGAUUCAGUUGUCCUUCAACACACCAGUGGCACUUCCUUUGGAGCAGCAAACGAGACCACAUCUCUUCUUUUACAGUUACUGCAAUCUCUUUGUAGGUUUUGAGCAUAAAAAGCGUCGCCAAUCAGGAUACCUUAGUGCUACCUUUGUGAAUGUCCAAGAUAUAGAUAUGCCCGACUUAUCUGUAAGUUAACACUAAAAUAUUUGACUCUUUUCUGUGCCAAUCCAUAUGUGGCUAACACUUCUUUAGUCUCUGGUACAAAAAAAAAAAAAAAUUUUAUAUCUGAAGUCUUUCCUAUUUCAAUUUUUAAAAAAAUGUACCUUAAAUUUCUGAAUUUAUUUUAGUUAUAUUUUGUUCAAAAUAUCAUCUUAAUACACAGAUAUAUGCCAAUCCAUAUGUGGCCAACACUUCUUCAGCCUCUUGUAUAAAAAAAAAAAUUAUCAUUUUAUAUCUAAAGUGUAUCCAAUUUCAAUUUUUAAAAAAAUGUACCUUAAAUUUCUGAAUUUAUUUUAGUCAUGUUUUGUUCAAAAUAUCAUCUUAACACACAGAUAUAUGCCAAUCCAUAUGUGGCCAACACUUCUUUGAAAAGAAUUUGAAUUAAUCAUGCCUUAUGUUGUUGUUUUGAGAUUUCAAUGUUGUGACCACUUUUGUGUUGAAUGACAUUUUUCGGUAUAGGUGAGAGGCCAAAUUUGGCCAGUUGGAACAUCAAACAGGUAUAAACCCUCAUAUCAGAUAUGGCACGUUUAAAUACUAAAAGAUUAUCUUGAUUAUUUAACCAAUCGACUAGUUAUAAAGGAGUGGAAUUGAACCAGUGUGUGUGUGUGUUAUUAAUGUUGGCAUGACUCUCCCAACACAAAACAACAUACAUAAGUGCAUGUGUGUGUGUGUGUGUGUAUUGUGGAGGUGCAAUGGCCCAGUGGUUAGGGCAACGGUCAUGCAGUUGUAGGAUUUUGGUUUCGAUUCCCAGACCAGGUGUUGUGAGCGUUUAUUGAGCGAAAACACUUAAAGCUCUACAAGGCUCUGGCAGGUGGGUGGUGGGGUGCUACACUCUGAGUGGUUGGCAUUAGGAAGGGCAUCCAGCUGUAGAAACUCUGCCAGAUCAGAUUAGAGCCUGGUGCAGCCAUCUGGUUUCACCAGUCCCCAGUCAAAUCGUCCAACCCAUGCCAGCAUGGAAAGCGGACGUUAAACGAUGAUAUAUAUAUA